GAUGAACGCUGGCGGCGUGCUUAACACAUGCAAGUCGAACGAAGCACUUUAUUUGAUUUCCUUCGGGACUGAUUAUUUUGUGACUGAGUGGCGGACGGGUGAGUAACGCGUGGGUAACCUGCCUUGUACAGGGGGAUAACAGUUGGAAACGGCUGCUAAUACCGCAUAAGCGCACGGCAUCGCAUGAUGCAGUGUGAAAAACUCCGGUGGUAUAAGAUGGACCCGCGUUGGAUUAGCUAGUUGGUGAGGUAACGGCCCACCAAGGCGACGAUCCAUAGCCGACCUGAGAGGUGACCGGCCACAUUGGGACUGAGACACGGCCCAAACUCCUACGGGAGGCAGCAGUGGGGAAUAUUGCACAAUGGGCGAAAGCCUGAUGCAGCGACGCCGCGUGAGCGAAGAAGUAUUUCGGUAUGUAAAGCUCUAUCAGCAGGGAAGAUAAUGACGGUACCUGACUAAGAAGCACCGGCUAAAUACGUG
RNAcentral lists this ribosomal RNA (480 nucleotides) under uncultured bacterium. RNAcentral's name for it is "partial 16S ribosomal RNA". It matches the Rfam family "Bacterial small subunit ribosomal RNA", at positions 28 to 507 of the family's 1533-position model. The record is from RNAcentral.